AAGUAAAAGUCGUAACAAGGUCUCCGUUGGUGAACCAGCGGAGGGAUCAUUACUGAGUUUACGCUCUACAACCCUUUGUGAACAUACCUAUAACUGUUGCUUCGGCGGGUAGGGUCUCCGCGACCCUCCCGGCCUCCCGCCUCCGGGCGGGUCGGCGCCCGCCGGAGGAUAACCAAACUCUGAUUUAACGACGUUUCUUCUGAGUGGUACAAGCAAAUAAUCAAAACUUUUAACAACGGAUCUCUUGGUUCUGGCAUCGAUGAAGAACGCAGCGAAAUGCGAUAAGUAAUGUGAAUUGCAGAAUUCAGUGAAUCAUCGAAUCUUUGAACGCACAUUGCGCCCGCCAGCAUUCUGGCGGGCAUGCCUGUUCGAGCGUCAUUUCAACCCUCAAGCUCUGCUUGGUGUUGGGGCCCUACAGCCGAUGUAGGCCCUCAAAGGUAGUGGCGGACCCUCCCGGAGCCUCCUUUGCGUAGUAACUUUACGUCUCGCACUGGGAUCCGGAGGGACUCUUGCCGUAAAACCCCCCAAUUUUCCAAAGGUUGACCUCGGAUCAGGUAGGAAUACCCGCUGAACUUAAGCAUAUCAAUAAGCGGAGGA
This 597-nucleotide ribosomal RNA is filed under the name Colletotrichum gloeosporioides. Its description in RNAcentral is "eukaryotic LSU rRNA". The stretch from base 225 to 378 matches the Rfam family "5.8S ribosomal RNA". Lineage: Eukaryota; Fungi; Ascomycota; Sordariomycetes; Glomerellales; Glomerellaceae. The record is from RNAcentral.